This 1459-nucleotide ribosomal RNA is filed under the name uncultured organism. RNAcentral describes it as "16S ribosomal RNA". It matches the Rfam family "Bacterial small subunit ribosomal RNA". The record is from RNAcentral.
AGAUUGAACGCUGGCGGCAGGCCUAACACAUGCAAGUCGAACGGUAACAGGAAUCAGCUUGCUGAUUCGCUGACGAGUGGCGGACGGGUGAGUAAUGUCUGGGAAACUGCCUGAUGGAGGGGGAUAACUACUGGAAACGGUAGCUAAUACCGCAUAACGUCGCAAGACCAAAGAGGGGGACCUUCGGGCCUCUUGCCAUCGGAUGUGCCCAGAUGGGAUUAGCUAGUAGGUGGGGUAACGGCUCACCUAGGCGACGAUCCCUAGCUGGUCUGAGAGGAUGACCAGCCACACUGGAACUGAGACACGGUCCAGACUCCUACGGGAGGCAGCAGUGGGGAAUAUUGCACAAUGGGCGCAAGCCUGAUGCAGCCAUGCCGCGUGUAUGAAGAAGGCCUUCGGGUUGUAAAGUACUUUCAGCGGGGAGGAAGGGAGUAAAGUUAAUACCUUUACUCAUUGACGUUACCCGCAGAAGAAGCACCGGCUAACUCCGUGCCAGCAGCCGCGGCAAUACGGAGGGUGCAAGCGUUAAUCGGAAUUACUGGGCGUAAAGCGCACGCAGGCGGUUUGUUAAGUCAGAUGUGAAAUCCCCGGGCUCAACCUGGGAACUGCAUCUGAUACUGGCAAGCUUGAGUCUCGUAGAGGGGGGUAGAAUCCCAGGUGUAGCGGUGAAAUGCGUAGAGAUCUGGAGGAAUACCGGUGGCGAAGGCGGCCCCCUGGACGAAGACUGACGCUCAGGUGCGAAAGCGUGGGGAGCAAACAGGAUUAGAUACCCUGGUAGUCCACGCCGUAAACGAUGUCGACUUGGAGGUUGUGCCCUUGAGGCGUGGCUUCCGGAGCUAACGCGUUAAGCCGACCGCCUGGGGAGUACGGCCGCAAGGUUAAAACUCAAAUGAAUUGACGGGGGCCCGCACAAGCGGUGGAGCAUGUGGUUUAAUUCGAUGCAACGCGAAGAACCUUACCUGGUCUUGACAUCCACAGAACCCUGUAGAGAUACGGGGGUGCCUUCGGGAACUGUGAGACAGGUGCUGCAUGGCUGUCGUCAGCUCGUGUUGUGAAAUGUUGGGUUAAGUCCCGCAACGAGCGCAACCCUUAUCCUUUGUUGCCAGCGGUCCGGCCGGGAACUCAAAGGAGACUGCCAGUGAUAAACUGGAGGAAGGUGGGGAUGACGUCAAGUCAUCAUGGCCCUUACGACCAGGGCUACACACGUGCUACAAUGGCGCAUACAAAGAGAAGCGACCUCGCGAGAGCAAGCGGAUCUCAUAAAGUGCGUCGUAGUCCGGAUUGGAGUCUGCAACUCGACUCCAUGAAGUCGGAAUCGCUAGUAAUCGUGGAUCAGAAUGCCACGGUGAAUACGUUCCCGGGCCUUGUACACACCGCCCGUCACACCAUGGGAGUGGGUUGCAAAAGAAGUAGGUAGCUUAACCUUCGGGAGGGCGCUUACCACUUUGUGAUUCAUGAC